This 450-nucleotide ribosomal RNA is filed under the name uncultured bacterium. Its description in RNAcentral is "partial 16S ribosomal RNA". It matches the Rfam family "Bacterial small subunit ribosomal RNA", at positions 338 to 795 of the family's 1533-position model. The record is from RNAcentral.
CCUACGGGUGGCUGCAGUAAGGAAUAUUGGUCAAUGGACGCAAGUCUGAACCAGCCAUGCCGCGUGAAGGAUGAAGGCCCUCUGGGUUGUAAACUUCUUUUAUCUGGGAAGAAAUCCACUGUUUUCACGGUGGUUGACGGUACCAGAGGAAUAAGCACCGGCUAACUCCGUGCCAGCAGCCGCGGUAAUACGGAGGGUGCAAGCGUUAUCGGGAUUUACGGGGUUUUAGGCGUGCGUAGGCGGCAUUUUAGAAAUCUCCGGGCUUAACUCGGAAAUUGCCGUUGAUACUAUUAGUCUUGAAUUAAGUUGAGGUGGGCGGAAUAUGUCAUGUAGCGGUGAAAUGCUUAGAUAUGACAUAGAACACCGAUUGCGAAGGCAGCUCGCUAAACUUAUAUUGACGCUGAGGCACGAAAGCGUGGGGAUCAAACAGGAUUAGAUACCCUUGUAGUC